AAUAUGGGUUGGGUUGAGACUU
RNAcentral lists this microRNA (22 nucleotides) under Lotus japonicus. RNAcentral describes it as "lja-miR11088b-5p". The record is from miRBase by way of RNAcentral. Lineage: Eukaryota; Viridiplantae; Streptophyta; Magnoliopsida; Fabales; Fabaceae.